This 207-nucleotide long non-coding RNA is filed under the name Musa acuminata (dwarf banana). RNAcentral describes it as "long non-coding RNA (MACU_LNC000058)". Lineage: Eukaryota; Viridiplantae; Streptophyta; Magnoliopsida; Zingiberales; Musaceae. The record is from RNAcentral.
UUUUGUUGGCAGAAACUUCUCAUUGCAACUGCGGAGCUGGUUCUGCCUAUGUGACAACAUGACUACUACGGCUGAUGAUACUAUUUCAUCCCGUAAGCACAACCGACCUUGUCAGCAUUUACCUCUAUCAUUACUUGACACACUCUUUGCCCAUUACCAAACUUUGAAUUUACAUAGGUUUCAGAUGAUGUUGGAGCUGCAACUAGC